UCGAAUCGCAUGGCCUUGCGCCGGCGACGGUUCAUUCAAUUUCUGCCCUAUCAACUUUCGAUGGUAAGGUAUUGGCUUACCAUGGUUUCAACGGGUAAACGGGGAAUUAGGGUUCGAUUCCCGGAGAGGGAGCCUGAGAAACGGCUACCACAUCCAAGGAAGGCAGCAGGCGCGCAAAUUACCCAAUCCCGACACGGGGAGGUAGUGACAAUAAAUACUGAUACAGGGCUCUUUUGGGUCUUGUAAUCGGAAUGAGUACAAUUUAAACCCCUUAACGAGGAACAAUUGGAGGGCAAGUCUGGUGCCAGCAGCCGCGGUAAUUCCAGCUCCAAUAGCGUAUAUUAAAGUUGUUGCAGUUAAAAAGCUCGUAGUUGAACCUUGGGCCUGGCUGGCCGGUCCGCCUCACCGCGUGUACUGGUCCGGCCGGGCCUUUCCUUCUGGAGAGCCCCAUGCCCUUCACUGGGUGUGCGGGGGAACCAGGACUUUUACUUUGAAAAAAUUAGAGUGUUCAAAGCAGGCCUUUGCUCGAAUACGUUAGCAUGGAAUAAUAGAAUAGGACGUGCGAUCCUAUUUUGUUGGUUUCUAGGACCGCCGUAAUGAUUAAUAGGGACAGUCGGGGGCAUCAGUAUUCAAUUGUCAGAGGUGAAAUUCUUGGAUUUAUUGAAGACUAACUACUGCGAAAGCAUUUGCCAAGGAUGUUUUCAUUAAUCAGUGAACGAAAGUUAGGGGAUCGAAGACGAUCAGAUACCGUCGUAGUCUUAACCGUAAACUAUGCCGACUAGGGAUCGGGCGAUGUUUUUAUCUUGACUCGCUCGGCACCUUACGAGAAAUCAAAGUUUUUGGGUUCUGGGGGGAGUAUGGUCGCAAGGCUGAAACUUAAAGAAAUUGACGGAAGGGCACCACCAGGCGUGGAGCCUGCGGCUUAAUUUG
RNAcentral lists this ribosomal RNA (930 nucleotides) under uncultured eukaryote. RNAcentral's name for it is "SSU rRNA". It matches the Rfam family "Eukaryotic small subunit ribosomal RNA", at positions 260 to 1197 of the family's 1831-position model. The record is from RNAcentral.